UAAGAGGUUCUGAGUUGCAACUCAGGGAU
RNAcentral lists this non-coding RNA (29 nucleotides) under Mus musculus (house mouse). The record is from RNAcentral. Lineage: Eukaryota; Metazoa; Chordata; Mammalia; Rodentia; Muridae.